CCUACGGGGGGCAGCAGUGGGGAAUAUUGGACAAUGGGGGCAACCCUGAUCCAGCCAUGCCGCGUGUGUGAAGAAGGCCCUCGGGUUGUAAAGCACUUUCAGUGAGGAAGAACGCCUGGUGGUUAAUACCCAUCAGGAAAGACAUCACUCACAGAAGAAGCACCGGCUAACUCCGUGCCAGCAGCCGCGGUAAUACGGAGGGUGCGAGCGUUAAUCGGAAUUACUGGGCGUAAAGCGCGCGUAGGUGGCUUGAUAAGCCGGUUGUGAAAGCCCCGGGCUCAACCUGGGAACGGCAUCCGGAACUGUCAAGCUAGAGUGCAGGAGAGGAAGGUAGAAUUCCCGGUGUAGCGGUGAAAUGCGUAGAGAUCGGGAGGAAUACCAGUGGCGAAGGCGGCCUUCUGGACUGACACUGACACUGAGGUGCGAAAGCGUGGGUAGCAAACAGGAUUAGAUACCCUGGAAGUC
This 465-nucleotide ribosomal RNA is filed under the name Vreelandella stevensii. RNAcentral's name for it is "partial 16S ribosomal RNA". It matches the Rfam family "Bacterial small subunit ribosomal RNA", at positions 338 to 795 of the family's 1533-position model. Lineage: Bacteria; Pseudomonadati; Pseudomonadota; Gammaproteobacteria; Oceanospirillales; Halomonadaceae. The record is from RNAcentral.